AGACGAUUGAAAUAUCAACAUGCCCAAAAGCUAGUGUUUGGGAAGAUUGAACAAGCCACAGCUCUUCUGUUGCUGACUGAAGAUAUUGGAGUCAGGCAAACGAGGUACCAAGAAGAGAAACGGUGAGCCCACAGUCACAGAGCUAGUGAGCUGUGGAAGGCGAAUUUCCACCUAGCACCACGGAUGCAGAGCCCACGCUCCAGGCUGCGAUGCUGUGCUGUGUUGGUGUCCAAGACAAGGAGCAUCAUCUCUGUUUCAAAACGUGGAAAAGAGUUAUGAGCAUCAGAAUCAAUGCUCCCUUCCCCAUAGUCCACCAUUCCAUCAUGAUGCCUUUUACGGGUCUUGCCUCAAUGCUGAUGGCUGCUGGCUGAUCGAGAGAAGUCUGCUGAAGAUUGAAGUCGCUGUGGCAGUUUCUUAAAACAAGACAACAGUAAAGUUUUCUGGCUCAAUGGACUCUCCCUGUAAUAAAAGAUUUCUCUGCAGCAUGAGACGGUGCUUCAUAGCAUUUCACCCACAGUAGAGGCUCUUUCAAAAUUGGGGUGAAGCCUGUCAAGGCCUGGGGUUGCUUUAUGAACUAGGUUUAUAGAAUAUCCAAAAUUCUUUGCUGUCAUUUCAACAAUGUGCACAGUGCCUUCACCAGGAGCAGGUCUCCCAUCAAGAAGUCAGUUACUUUGCUCAUACAUAAGAAGCAUUCAAGUUUUCUCACGAGAGAGCAGCAAUCUAGUUCCAUCCUUAGGCUCCACUUCUGAUUCCAAGUCUCUUGCUGCUUCCACCACAUCUGCAGUUACUUCCUCCAGUGAAGUCCUGAACCCCUCAAAGUCUCCCACAAGGGUUGUAAUCAACUUCUUCCAAACACCUGUUAACGUUGAUAUUUUGCUCUUCCCCCAUAAAUCAGAAUUUUCUUAAGUUCUCAUCCAGAAUGGUGAAUCCUUUCCAGAAGGUUUUGCGUUUACUUUCCUUGGACCCAUCGGAGGAAUCACUGUCUAGAGCAGCUAUUGCCUUAUAAAAUGUAUUUCUAAAAUAAUCAGACGUAAAAGUUGAAAUUACUCCUUAAUCCUUGAUCAAUAUCCAAAAGAAUGGAUAUUGCAAGAAGACAGUGUUAAGCUCUUGGGUGACCAAAUGUGCUUUCGAUGAGCAGUAAUAUUUUUAAAAGAAACUUGUUAUUUUCCUGA
Callithrix jacchus (white-tufted-ear marmoset) is the source of this 1172-nucleotide long non-coding RNA. RefSeq lists it as uncharacterized. The record is from RefSeq and is a predicted model, not a curated record. NCBI's taxonomy places the organism in Eukaryota, Metazoa, Chordata, Mammalia, Primates, Cebidae.